GGGGCAUUAGCUCAGUUGGCUAGAGCGCUUGCAUGGCAUGCAAGAGGUCGUCGGUUCGAACCCGAUAUGCUCCACCA
RNAcentral lists this transfer RNA (77 nucleotides) under Candidatus Peregrinibacteria bacterium. Its description in RNAcentral is "tRNA-Ala". It matches the Rfam family "tRNA". From Rfam's summary of the family: Transfer RNA (tRNA) molecules are approximately 80 nucleotides in length. Their secondary structure includes four short double-helical elements and three loops (D, anti-codon, and T loops). The record is from RNAcentral. Lineage: Bacteria; Candidatus Peregrinibacteriota.